This 471-nucleotide ribosomal RNA is filed under the name uncultured bacterium. RNAcentral describes it as "partial 16S ribosomal RNA". It matches the Rfam family "Bacterial small subunit ribosomal RNA", at positions 28 to 507 of the family's 1533-position model. The record is from RNAcentral.
GACGAACGCUGGCGGCGUGCUUAACACAUGCAAGUCGAACGAUGAAGCCUAGCUUGCUAGGUGGAUUAGUGGCGAACGGGUGAGUAAUACGUGAGUAACCUACCUUUAACUCUGGGAUAAGCCUGGGAAACUGGGUCUAAUACCGGAUACGACCAAUCUCCGCAUGGGGUGUUGGUGGAAAGCGUUAUGUAGUGGUUAUAGAUGGGCUCACGGCCUAUCAGCUUGUUGGUGAGGUAACGGCUCACCAAGGCGACGACGGGUAGCCGGCCUGAGAGGGUGACCGGCCACACUGGGACUGAGACACGGCCCAGACUCCUACGGGAGGCAGCAGUGGGGAAUAUUGCACAAUGGGCGCAAGCCUAAUGCAGCGACGCCGCGUGAGGGAUGACGGCCUUCGGGUUGUAAACCUCUGUUAGCAGGGAAGAAGAGAAAUUGACGGUACCUGCAGAGAAAGCGCCGGCUAACUACGUG